RNAcentral lists this ribosomal RNA (440 nucleotides) under uncultured bacterium. Its description in RNAcentral is "partial 16S ribosomal RNA". It matches the Rfam family "Bacterial small subunit ribosomal RNA", at positions 338 to 795 of the family's 1533-position model. The record is from RNAcentral.
CCUACGGGUGGCAGCAGUGGGGAAUAUUGCACAAUGGGGGAAACCCUGAUGCAGCGACGCCGCGUGAGUGAAGAAGUAUCUCGGUAUGUAAAGCUCUAUCAGCAGGGAAGAAAAUGACGGUACCUGAUCAAGAAGCUCCGGCUAACUACGUGCCAGCAGCCGCGGUACUACGUAGGGGGCCAGCGUUAUCCGGAUUUACUGGGUGUAAAGGGAGCGUAGACGGCAGCACAAGUCUGGAGUGAAAUGCCGGGGCUUAACCCCGGAACUGCUUUGGAAACUGUGCAGCUAGAGUGCAGGAGAGGUAAGUGGAAUUCCUGGGGUAGCGGUGAAAUGCGUAGAUAUUAGGAGGAACACCAGUGGCGAAGGCGGCUUACUGGACUGUAACUGACGUUGAGGCUCGAAAGCGUGGGGAGCAAACAGGAUUAGAUACCCGGGUAGUC